AUGUAGCUUGGGGCUAUGCGUUGAAUUGUGUCCCCCGAAAAGUUGAUAUUCUAGCCCCCAGCGCCUGUGAAAGUAGCCUUACUUGGAAAUAGCUUUAUUGGGAAAUGGCCUUCCUGGACCCAUCAGAUAAGGAUGAGGUCAUUAGGAUGGGUCCAAAUCCAACAUGACUAUCCAACAGAGAGGACUUGGACAUAGAGAUAGACAUGCAUACAGGGAAGGUGAUGUGAAGACACAGAAGAAUGCCAUCUCCAAUCCAAGGAUGCUUGAGGCUAUCAGAAGCUAGAAGAGGCAUGUACAGACUCUCCUUUGCAGCCCCCAGAAGAAACUAACCCUGCUGACACAGUGAUCCUGGACAUCUAGCCUCCAGCUGUGAAACAAUAAAGGCCUGUUAUUUUAAGUCACCCAACACGCGGAAUUUUGUUAGGGCAGCCACGGCAAACUAACGCACUUGGCUUAGGUCAGGAGUCAGCAAACUUCUUUAAAGGGUGUGAUAUAAAUAUUUUUGGCUUGAGGGACCAUAAUAUCCCUGUCAUCAUUACUCAACUAAGCUGUCAUAAUGUGAAAGCAGCCAUAGACAAUAGGUAAACAAAGGGUGUUACAGUGUGCCAAUGACCCUUGAUGCCCCAAAACAGCCAACAGGUGGGGCUGGUCCACGGGCCAUAGCUUUUGGACUCUGGGUCUAGGCGAUGGUGGUGCAGAUUAAAAGAAGCAGAUGAAGGCUCUGAGGCCAGCAGGGCUGAAAGCCUGCUCUGCAUUCACUAAGUGUGUGACCUCGGUUUUUAACCCUACAGAUUAGAAGCAUGAGAUACAUUCACCUUGUUCGGCUACCAUCACCACUACCCUUCUCCAGAGCUCUUUUCCUCCUACAAAACAGAAACUCAGUAUCCACAGUUGAGGUCGGAGGGAGAACCAGCUAAUCAAGCCUGCAUUACAAGAAGAAGCUCCAACUGCUUGGCACUAGCACUAGAGGAGAGGCUUCAGGCAUCAAACACCUACCGUCCUCUGAUUCCUUCACAAUUGUGGCCUCGUUGUUUAUGGGGAGUCUAAUAAAAGGCAAGGGAUUGCUGAUUAGCUGAAGUUUCCCUUGGCUGGGAUCAAAGUAAAUCUUUCAGAUUUAUACAACC
Leopardus geoffroyi (Geoffroy's cat) is the source of this 1124-nucleotide long non-coding RNA. RefSeq lists it as uncharacterized. The record is from RefSeq and is a predicted model, not a curated record. The transcript is spliced from 4 exons. Lineage: Eukaryota; Metazoa; Chordata; Mammalia; Carnivora; Felidae.